UACAGAGGUCCCGAGCGUUGUUCGGAUUCACUGGGCGUAAAGGGUGCGCAGGUGGGUUUGCAAGUUUGAUGUGAAAGCCCCGGGCUUAACCCGGGAAUGGCAUUGAAUACUGCAGAUCUGGAGGAUUGGAGGGGGGACUGGAAUUCUUGGUGUAGCAGUGAAAUGCGUAGAUAUCAAGAGGAACACCAGUGGCGAAGGCGAGUCCCUGGACAAUACCUGACACUGAGGCACGAAAGCCAAGGGAGCAAACAGG
Molecule: ribosomal RNA, 253 nt
Filed under: uncultured bacterium
Lineage: Bacteria
Also listed under: 1 other name
Description: partial 16S ribosomal RNA
Rfam family: Bacterial small subunit ribosomal RNA
Source: RNAcentral